CCUACGGGUGGCAGCAGUGGGGAAUAUUGGACAAUGGGGGCAACCCUGAUCCAGCCAUGCCGCGUGUGUGAAGAAGGCCCUCGGGUUGUAAAGCACUUUCAGUGAGGAAGAACGCCUGGUGGUUAAUACCCAUCAGGAAAGACAUCACUCACAGAAGAAGCACCGGCUAACUCCGUGCCAGCAGCCGCGGUAAUACGGAGGGUGCGAGCGUUAAUCGGAAUUACUGGGCGUAAAGCGCGCGUAGGUGGCUUGAUAGGCCGGUUGUGAAAGCCCCGGGCUCAACCUGGGAACGGCAUCCGGAACUGUCAAGCUAGGGUGCAGGAGAGGAAGGUAGAAUUCCCGGUGUAGCGGUGAAAUGCGCAGAGAUCGGGAGGAAUACCAGUGGCGAAGGCGGCCUUCUGGACUGACACUGACGCUGAGGUGCGAAAGCGGGGGUAGCGAACAGGAUUAGAUACCCUUGUAGUC
RNAcentral lists this ribosomal RNA (465 nucleotides) under Vreelandella stevensii. RNAcentral describes it as "partial 16S ribosomal RNA". It matches the Rfam family "Bacterial small subunit ribosomal RNA", at positions 338 to 795 of the family's 1533-position model. The record is from RNAcentral. Lineage: Bacteria; Pseudomonadati; Pseudomonadota; Gammaproteobacteria; Oceanospirillales; Halomonadaceae.